RNAcentral lists this long non-coding RNA (546 nucleotides) under Pogona vitticeps (central bearded dragon). Its description in RNAcentral is "lncRNA (ENSPVIG00000008893.1)". The record is from RNAcentral. Lineage: Eukaryota; Metazoa; Chordata; Lepidosauria; Squamata; Agamidae.
AAAUUAAGAUAAGACAUCUAGGAGCAGCAAAUGUUAUUCUAAAUUAGGCAAUGCACAUGGCGAUGAGGAUGGGGAAUCUCUGAGGUUCCAGGCUCAAAAAUGAGCAGGGCACGCAUGAAGGUCUGCCUACUGUAUGUUGCCCACUAAUUUUACUGUCCAAUUGUAAUUCUUUUUCAGGUCAUGUAUUUGACCAAUCUGUGCUGCUCCAUUACUACCAGAAGAACAACUGCAGCUACGAUCCUCAUCCUCCCAUUUAUUCUUUUCCCAUGAGAUCUAGACAUUUGAAAGGUAGAGGAAGAAAUAAGAGGAUGUGUAAGCAGAGCAGAGAUUAGAAAAUCACUAGGUGGCACUGUUGUUUUGCAAAAAAGUGCCAUAGAACAUCAAUGAUACAACCUGGAGAAAUAUGUGAUUUUUAAGCUCUCGUUCAUUCACAGUAACUUGAACUAAUUUUGCUAUUUUAUGUAAUUAUUGCAGAUGCAGUUCAAAUAACACUCUGCAAACUCUGACAAUUUUAUACUUAAAUAAAGUGAAAUGUGUUUAUCCCCA